RNAcentral lists this transfer RNA (73 nucleotides) under Felis catus (domestic cat). It matches the Rfam family "tRNA". From Rfam's summary of the family: Transfer RNA (tRNA) molecules are approximately 80 nucleotides in length. Their secondary structure includes four short double-helical elements and three loops (D, anti-codon, and T loops). Lineage: Eukaryota; Metazoa; Chordata; Mammalia; Carnivora; Felidae. The record is from Rfam by way of RNAcentral. RNAcentral also lists the same sequence under 3 other names.
GCCUGGCUGGCUCAGUUGGUAGAGCAUGUGACUCUUGAUCUCAGGGUCAUGAGUUCAAACCCCACAUUGGGUG